CCUACGGGUGGCAGCAGUGAGGAAUAUUGGUCAAUGGACGAGAGUCUGAACCAGCCAAGUAGCGUGAAGGAUGACUGCCCUAUGGGUUGUAAACUUCUUUUAUAUGGGAAUAAAAUGUUCCACGUGUGGGAGUUUGUAUGUACCAUAUGAAUAAGGAUCGGCUAACUCCGUGCCAGCAGCCGCGGUAAUACGGAGGAUCCGAGCGUUAUCCGGAUUUAUUGGGUUUAAAGGGAGCGUAGGGGGAUUGUUAAGGCAGUUGUGAAAGUUUGGGGCUCAACCGCAAGAUUGCAGUUGAAACGGGCAGUCUUGAGUACAGGAGAGGUAGGCGGAAUUCGUGGUGUAGCGGUGAAAUGCGUAGAUAUCACGAAGAACUCCGAUUGCGAAGGCAGCUCACUGGACUGCAACUGACACUGAGGCUCGAAAGUGUGGGUAUCAAACAGGAUUAGAUACCCCGGUAGUC
This 460-nucleotide ribosomal RNA is filed under the name uncultured bacterium. RNAcentral describes it as "partial 16S ribosomal RNA". It matches the Rfam family "Bacterial small subunit ribosomal RNA", at positions 338 to 795 of the family's 1533-position model. The record is from RNAcentral.